CCUACGGGAGGCAGCAGUGGGGAAUAUUGGGCAAUGGAGGAAACUCUGCCCCAGCAACGCCGCGUGAAUGAUGAAGGUCUUCGGACUGUAAAGUUCUUUUCUAAGGGAAGAAGAAAGUGACGGUACAUUAGGAAUAAGCCACGGCUAACGACGGGCCAGUGGCCGCGGUAAUACGUAGGAGGCAAGCGUUAUCCGGAAUGACUGGGCGUAAAGGGUGCGUGGGUGGUUUGAAAAGUUGGUAGCGUAACUCCGAGGCUUAACCUCGGCACUACUACCAAAACUGUUGGACUCGAGUGCAGUAGGUGCAAAUGGAAUUCCUAGUGUAGCGUUGGAAUGCGUAGAUAUUAGGAGGAACACCAGUUGCGAGGGCGAUUUGCUGGACUGUAACUGACACUGAGGCACGAAAGCGUGGGGAGCAAACAGGAUUAGAUACCCCGGUAGUC
This 443-nucleotide ribosomal RNA is filed under the name uncultured bacterium. RNAcentral's name for it is "partial 16S ribosomal RNA". It matches the Rfam family "Bacterial small subunit ribosomal RNA", at positions 338 to 795 of the family's 1533-position model. The record is from RNAcentral.